CAGUCGCCACGGUAAUACGAAGGGUGCAAGCGUUAAUCGGAAUUACUGGGCGUAAAGCGUGCGUAGGCGGUGAGUUAAGUCUGCUGUGAAAUCCCCGGGCUCAACCUGGGAAUGGCAGUGGAUACUGGCUCGCUAGAGUGUGUCAGAGGAUGGUGGGAUUCCCGGUGUAGCGGUGAAAUGCGUAGAGAUCAGGAGGAACAUCAGUGGCGAAGGCGGCCAUCUGGGACAACACUGACGCUGAGGCACGAAAGCGUGGGGAGCAAACAGGAUUAGAUACCCCAGUAGUCCCUGUCUCUUAUAC
Molecule: ribosomal RNA, 301 nt
Filed under: uncultured bacterium
Lineage: Bacteria
Description: partial 16S ribosomal RNA
Rfam family: Bacterial small subunit ribosomal RNA
Source: RNAcentral